UGCGGUGGAGUGGAACCAAGUCCUCACCAACACUAGUUCACUUUCCCACUGCUACUUCGUACCAUGUAUGUUACACUGCCGUGUGUUGUUCAUGUGGUUGGUCUUUGUGUUUUUCUCGUUUGAGCUUAGCGCGUAGCUAAUUAACCCAGGAGAUUGUGUCGGUUGCAUCGGGGAACGGGUAGACACGUGGCGAAUUUAUAUUGGAAGAGAGGGAAGAAUCGAACAGGGCGAGUGUGGGGUCCAUUAGCCAGCUGCUGAAAGCUGGAGCAUUGACAUGAGACAUGAGACAUGAGACAUGAGACAUGAGACAGUAGUGUAGUUGGAAAAUUAGAUGAAAGAAAAAGCAUGUUUAAUUAAGUUGGCACGGCCACCCCACCUAUGGUAAUUAUGGUUAUGGUAAAACUCUGGUGUUUUGAGCGGGGCAAGAUAUUUGUGGUAAUGAGCAUUUAACGUUGGGUCAGAGGUCAGGUUCUUGCACCCAAGCUAACGAAAGCAACAAGAAAAGUGGUACACUCUAGUUAAUAAUGGUGGUGCCCACUUCGCAUUUGCAUUGGGUUCUCUUUCCAAAUCAUUGUCCUAUUCUUAUAUGCUUAUUUUCCCUCAAUAAUACCACUUGUUGUGUAUUUUGUUCCUUCA
Non-coding RNA from Cajanus cajan (pigeon pea), 636 nucleotides. The record is from RefSeq and is a predicted model, not a curated record. NCBI's taxonomy places the organism in Eukaryota, Viridiplantae, Streptophyta, Magnoliopsida, Fabales, Fabaceae.